AUUUUUGUUUAUUCUGUUAAGCCCAAACAUUUAGACUCUACCUUUUCACCCUUUCAGCUCUCAGAGUCAUAAGGACACUAGAAGGCCACAAUGACUUCAAGAAGGAACCUUCAGGGGUGUCCAUCCACACCCUGGCCCAUGCACCCAGCUGAGUUCAGUACUGAGCAGCCAGUUCUUGGUGAGCUGUGCCCAAGAUCUUCCACUUUCUGGUUGUGUGGCAUUGCUCCCGACUCAGCAACAGGAUAUGAGAAGUGUCUUCUCUCUCUGCUGUUUACAAGGAAGAGUGGCUCUUCUGUGACACGUUGCAGCUUACCUCUUAUAUAGGCACCGUGGACCUUGAUUUGUUCUGUUGAGCCGAAAUACUGCAGGAUCCUCC
This 376-nucleotide long non-coding RNA is filed under the name Parus major (Great Tit). Its description in RNAcentral is "lncRNA (ENSPMJG00000016292.1)". The record is from RNAcentral. Lineage: Eukaryota; Metazoa; Chordata; Aves; Passeriformes; Paridae.